GACGAACGCUGGCGGCGUGCUUAACACAUGCAAGUCGAACGGAAAGGCCCUGCUUUUGUGGGGUGCUCGAGUGGCGGACGGGUGAGUAACACGUGAGUAACCUGCCCUUGACUUUGGGAUAACUUCAGGAAACUGGGGCUAAUACCGGAUAGGAGCUCCUGCUGCAUGGUGGGGGUUGGAAAGUUUCGGCGGUUGGGGAUGGACUCGCGGCUUAUCAGCUUGUUGGUGGGGUAGUGGCUUACCAAGGCUUUGACGGGUAGCCGGCCUGAGAGGGUGACCGGCCACAUUGGGACUGAGAUACGGCGCAGAGUCCAACGGGAGGCAGCAGUGGGGAAUAUUGCACAAUGGGCGGAAGCCUGAUGCAGCAACGCCGCGUGCGGGAUGACGGCCUUCGGGUUGUAAACCGCUUUCGCCUGUGACGAAGCGUGAGUGACGGUAAUGGAUAAAGAAGCACCGGCUAACUACGUG
This 468-nucleotide ribosomal RNA is filed under the name uncultured bacterium. RNAcentral describes it as "partial 16S ribosomal RNA". It matches the Rfam family "Bacterial small subunit ribosomal RNA", at positions 28 to 507 of the family's 1533-position model. The record is from RNAcentral.